AUUAAUAAGCGGAGGAAAAGAAACUAACAAGGAUUCCCUCAGUAACGGCGAGUGAAGCGGGAAGAGCUCAAAUUUGAAAUCUCCGAUGCUUGCAUCGGCGAGUUGUAGUUGCGAGAAGCACUUUCUAGGUGGAUCGCCGGUGCCUAAGUUGCUUGGAACAGCACGUCGCAGAGGGUGACAACCCCGUCUGUGGCGCCGGCGGCCGCUGACGAUGUGCUUUCGAAGAGUCGGGUUGUUUGGGAAUGCAGCCCAAAAUGGGUGGUAAACUCCAUCUAAAGCUAAAUACUGGCGUGAGACCGAUAGCGAACAAGUACCGUGAGGGAAAGAUGAAAAGAACUUUGAAAAGAGAGUUAAAAAGUACGUGAAACCGUCGGAAGGGAAACGAAUGGACUCAGCAAUGCGCCCUCUGAGAUUCAGCCGGUGGGUGGCGUCGGCGCUGGGUUUGCGGAUCUGAAUGGACCGCGGCCCUGCGCUCGGUGUCCCCCGCCGUCGCACUUCUCUGGGGCGCGCGUCAACGUGGGUUGGGACUGGGUCUGAAAGGUGCCGGGAAGGUAGGUGUGGGCCUUCGGGUCCGUUCUGUUACAGCCCGGCUCUCUCAUGGCUCGGGCCCGACCGAGGAGUCAGACAGGGCAUGCCUCCUGUGGCUAGGGUCCCGUCCUUCCGGCCGGCUGUCCAGUGUGGUGGACUGCUUGCAGUGCUCCGCGACGGCUGCCGGUCGUUGGGGUGGUGAUCUCGUACCAUGCCCUUA
RNAcentral lists this ribosomal RNA (748 nucleotides) under Goniastrea retiformis. Its description in RNAcentral is "eukaryotic LSU rRNA". It matches the Rfam family "Eukaryotic large subunit ribosomal RNA", at positions 42 to 615 of the family's 3401-position model. Lineage: Eukaryota; Metazoa; Cnidaria; Anthozoa; Scleractinia; Merulinidae. The record is from RNAcentral.